RNAcentral lists this non-coding RNA (48 nucleotides) under Schistosoma curassoni. The record is from RNAcentral. Lineage: Eukaryota; Metazoa; Platyhelminthes; Trematoda; Strigeidida; Schistosomatidae.
AUCCAACUGACGAGUUCCAAAAAGGACGAAACACGCGUCAAACUGUAU